This 445-nucleotide ribosomal RNA is filed under the name uncultured bacterium. RNAcentral describes it as "bacterial SSU rRNA". It matches the Rfam family "Bacterial small subunit ribosomal RNA", at positions 33 to 507 of the family's 1533-position model. The record is from RNAcentral.
GACACGCUGGCGGCGUGCCUAACACAUGCAAGUCGAGCGAGUGAAUCUCCUUCGGGAGAGAAGCUAGCGGCGGACGGGUGAGUAACGCGUAGGAAUGUAUCCAGAGGUGGGGGACAACCCCGGGAAACUGGGGCUAAUACCGCAUAUGUCCUGAGGGACAAAGCAGUAAUGCGCCUUUGGAGCAGCCUGCGUCCGAUUAGGUAGUUGGUGGGGUAAUGGCCUACCAAGCCUGCGAUCGGUAGCUGGUCUGAGAGGACGAUCAGCCACACUGGGACUGAGACACGGCCCAGACUCCUACGGGAGGCAGCAGUGGGGAAUAUUGGACAAUGGGCGCAAGCCUGAUCCAGCAAUGCCGCGUGUGUGAAGAAGGUCUUCGGAUCGUAAAGCACUUUCGACAGGGACGAUGAUGACGGUACCUGUAGAAGAAGCCCCGGCUAACUUCGUG